Molecule: ribosomal RNA, 503 nt
Filed under: uncultured bacterium
Lineage: Bacteria
Description: bacterial SSU rRNA
Rfam family: Bacterial small subunit ribosomal RNA
Source: RNAcentral
GAUCCUGGCUCAGGAUGAACGCUAGCGGCAGGCCUAACACAUGCAAGUCGAGGGGCAGCGGGGAAGUAGCUUGACUACUUUUGCCGGCGACCGGCGCACGGGUGCGUAACGCGUAUGUAACCUACCUUAAACAGGGGCAUAACACUGAGAAAUUGGUACUAAUACCCCAUAAUAUCUGAGAAGGCAUCUUUUCAGGUUGAAAGCUCCGACGGUUAUAGAUGGGCAUGCGUUGUAUUAGGUAGUUGGUGAGGUAACGGCUCACCAAGCCGACGAUGUCUAGGGGUUCUGAGAGGAAGGUCCCCCCACACUGGUACUGAGACACGGACCAGACUCCUACGGGAGGCAGCAGUGAGGAAUAUUGGUCAAUGGGCGAGAGCCUGAACCAGCCAAGUCGCGUGAGGGAAGACGGUACUAAGUAUUGUAAACCUCUUUUGUCAGGGAACAAAGAGACCACGUGUGGUAAGAUGAGUGUACCUGAAGAAAAAGCAUCGGCUAACUCCGUG